This 491-nucleotide ribosomal RNA is filed under the name uncultured bacterium. RNAcentral's name for it is "partial 16S ribosomal RNA". It matches the Rfam family "Bacterial small subunit ribosomal RNA", at positions 29 to 507 of the family's 1533-position model. The record is from RNAcentral.
AGUGAACGCUGGCGGUAGGCCUAACACAUGCAAGUCGAACGGCAGCACAGUAAGAGCUUGCUCUUACGGGUGGCGAGUGGCGGACGGGUGAGGAAUACAUCGGAAUCUACUUUUUCGUGGGGUUAACGUAGGGAAACUUACGCUAAUACCGCAUACGACCUACGGGUGAAAGCAGGGGAUCUUCGGACCUUGCGCGAUUGAAUGAGCCGAUGUCGGAUUAGCUAGUUGGCGGGGUAAAGGCCCACCAAGGCGACGAUCCGUAGCUGGUCUGAGAGGAUGAUCAGCCACACUGGAACUGAGACACGGUCCAGACUCCUACGGGAGGCAGCAGUAGGGAAUAUUGGACAAUGGGCGCAAGCCUGAUCCAGCCAUACCGCGUGGGUGAAGAAGGCCUUCGGGUUGUAAAGCCCUUUUGUUGGGAAAGAAAAGCAGCAGGUUAAUACCCCGCUGUUCUGACGGUACCCAAAGAAUAAGCACCGGCUAACUUCGUG